GGCGCAUUCGUCUAGCGGCCUAGGACACUGCCCUCUCAAGGCAGAGACCACCGGUUCGAAUCCGGUAUGCGCUACCA
This 77-nucleotide transfer RNA is filed under the name bacterium. RNAcentral's name for it is "tRNA-Glu". It matches the Rfam family "tRNA". Rfam says of the family: Transfer RNA (tRNA) molecules are approximately 80 nucleotides in length. Their secondary structure includes four short double-helical elements and three loops (D, anti-codon, and T loops). Further hydrogen bonds mediate the characteristic L-shaped molecular structure. tRNAs have two regions of fundamental functional importance: the anti-codon, which is responsible for specific mRNA codon recognition, and the 3' end, to which the tRNAs corresponding amino acid is attached (by aminoacyl-tRNA synthetases). tRNAs cope with the degeneracy of the genetic code in two manners: having more than one tRNA (with a specific anti-codon) for a particular amino acid; and 'wobble' base-pairing, i.e. permitting non-standard base-pairing at the 3rd anti-codon position. RNAcentral also lists the same sequence under 5 other names. The record is from RNAcentral.